GGUGUUGGGGUGAUGAGAACCCAAGGGGGGCGGGGCAGGGGCUGGGUCAGGUGUCCGGGUGGCUUCUCCCUCUGCCCCAGCCCCUCUCAGACGUCCCCAGUGUGGCCAGAGUGAGCAGGAACAGCUGGCAGGGUCAGAGCACCGGGCUCUGGGAGGGUCCAGGACCCUGGCUCUGGCCCACAGGGCCCACAGCUGACCUGGCAGCCUGGGAAGGUCAGGGCCACAGGGUUCGCUCGUCCCACCUGCCCACCUCUCAGCCGUCACCGGGCCUGUGACACAGCCGCGUGGAACACAGGUCCCCGGCCCACCAUGGCCCUCCUGGGCCAUUCCUCGCAUCUCCCAGCCCCGAGAUAUAGGGGAGGCUCUGGGCAGGCUGCUGGAUCCCAUAUAGCCGCGGGAAAAUGGGAGCUGCACGGACAGGCCAGGAUUCCCGGGGCUGGCGGCCAAACAGGGGCUGGCACAGGCCACGCAGCCACGAGGGGGGACCCCAGUGCCCCCGAUGAGGGGAGCCAUGUCUGACACUGCCCUGGGGACAGGAAGGCGCAUGCUUGGGGAUGCUGGAAGCGGGCUGACUCUGGCGCCCCAACACUGGCUCAUCUGUUGCCCUCCUGGUGUUUGCCUGGGACUUUGAGCUCAGUUUUCUGUCUGAUCAGACUGUGCACUUUGGGGAGGCACAGGUGGUGCUCAAGGUGCUGGAGCGCAGCCAGGGAGCCCUCAUGGGGACUUCCCAGGGCUGCAUUCACGAGGCAAGUGUGCCCUACCUCGGUAACAAAGGUUGUUCCUGCAGCCCCCCCCGUAGCUGGGCGGGCACUCGGAGCAGGGCCUGCCGGUCCUGUACGGGGCCUCUCCAAUCCAAGCUCACCCCACUCCCAGGCAAGGGGCGUGAGGCGGAGGGGAGACAUCCCUGGUGAAGCUGAUUUUGUUGGGCCCCUGGGCAGGCAAGCAGGUCCCGACCCACGCCCGCGGCCCUCACUUGGGAGAAUAGUUGCAGACCAGGUAGACGGCGUUCUCCCAGAUCUCCCCCCAGACGUCUAUCCUGUGGCAGGUGUGCACGGCGCAGCCAACCUUGUUGGUGGUGGCCCAGACGAUCUGCAAAGAACAUUCGGGGGUCACAGCUCAAGGGACAGGGCACCCCGGAUGACGCAAGGUGGUCCGGAU
Molecule: long non-coding RNA, 1158 nt
Filed under: Heterocephalus glaber (naked mole-rat)
Lineage: Eukaryota; Metazoa; Chordata; Mammalia; Rodentia; Bathyergidae
Description: lncRNA (ENSHGLG00000038581.1)
Source: RNAcentral